CCCUUAGAUGUUCUGGGCAGCACGCGCGCUACAAUGGUCUUCGCAAACGGAUGCAUUCUCGAAGGAGAAUGCCAAUCUUGGAAUCUAUGCCUUGGUCGGGACAGUCGCUUGCAAUUUUUCGACUCGAACCAGGAAUUCCUUGUAAUCGUGAUUCAUCACAUCACGAUGAAUACGUCCCUGCCCUUUGUACACACCGCCCGUCGCUCCUACCGAUCGAAGAGUUAGGUGAAUUGUUUUGAUCGAUAAGAUUUGACUAUGGUCAACUCUCGUUGUGAAAUUCUGUGAAUCUGACUGUUUAGAGGAAGGAAAAGUCGUAACA
Molecule: ribosomal RNA, 319 nt
Filed under: uncultured eukaryote
Lineage: Eukaryota
Description: partial 18S ribosomal RNA
Rfam family: Eukaryotic small subunit ribosomal RNA
Source: RNAcentral